This 521-nucleotide unclassified non-coding RNA is filed under the name uncultured Glomeromycotina. RNAcentral describes it as "SSU rRNA". It matches the Rfam family "Eukaryotic small subunit ribosomal RNA", at positions 571 to 1092 of the family's 1831-position model. Lineage: Eukaryota; Fungi; Glomeromycota. The record is from RNAcentral.
CACCGCGGUAAUUCCAGCUCCAAUAGCGUAUAUUAAAGUUGUUGCAGUUAAAAAGCUCGUAGUUGAACUUCGGGGUUUACCCAUUGGUCAGGCUUAAUUGUCUGUACUGGUGAGAUAAAUCUCUACCUUCUGAGGAACUUUCAUGUCAUUAAUUUGGUGUGAUUGGAAAUCAGGACUGUUACUUUGAAAAAAUUAGAGUGUUUAAAGCAGGCUAACGUCUGAAUACAUUAGCAUGGAAUAAUGAAAUAGGACGGACUGAUUCUAUUUCGUUGGUUUCUAGGAUCACCGUAAUGAUUAAUAGGGAUAGUUGGGGGCAUUAGUAUUCAAUUGUCAGAGGUGAAAUUCUUGGAUUUAUUGAAGACUAACUACUGCGAAAGCAUUUGCCAAGGAUGUUUUCAUUAAUCAAGAACGAAAGUUAGGGGAUCGAAGACGAUCAGAUACCGUCGUAGUCUUAACCAUAAACUAUGCCGACUAGGGAUCGGACGAAGUUAAUUUUAUAAUGACGCGUUCGGCACCUUACG